CUACCCGGCUGAACUUAAGCAUAUCAAUAAGCGGAGGAAAAGAAACCAACAGGGAUUGCCCUAGUAACGGCGAGUGAAGCGGCAACAGCUCAAAUUUGAAAUCUGGCUCUUUUAGGGUCCGAGUUGUAAUUUGCAGAGGGCGCUUUGGCUUUGGCAGCGGUCCAAGUUCUUUGGAACAGGACGUCACAGAGGGUGAGAAUCCCGUACGUGGUCGCUAUCCUUUGCCGUGUAAAGCCCCUUCGACGAGUCGAGUUGUUUGGGAAUGCAGCUCUAAAUGGGAGGUAAAUUUCUUCUAAAGCUAAAUACUGGCCAGAGACCGAUAGCGCACAAGUAGAGUGAUCGAAAGAUGAAAAGCACUUUGGAAAGAGAGUCAAAUAGCACGUGAAAUUGUUGAAAGGGAAGCGCUUGCAGCCAGACUUGUUUGCAGUUGCUUAUCCGGGCUUUUGCCCGGUGCACUCUUCUGUAGGCAGGCCAGCAUCAGUUUGGGCAGUUGGAUAAAGGUCUCUGUCAUGUACCUCUCUUCGGGGAGGCCUUAUAGGGGAGACGACAUGCAACUAGCCUGGACUGAGGUCCGCGCAUCUGCUAGGAUGCUGGCGUAAUGGCUGUAAGCGGCCCGUCUUGAAACACGGACCAAGGAGUCUAACAUCUAUGCGAGUGUUUGGGUGUCAAGCCCAGACGCGUAAUGAAAGUGAACGGAGGUGGGAACCCUUUGGGUGCACCAUCGACCGAUCCUGAUGUCUUCGGAAGGAUUUGAGUAAGAGCAUGGCUGUUGGGACCCGAAAGAUGGUGAACUAUGCUUGAAUAGGGUGAAGCCAGAGGAAACUCUGGUGGAGGCUCGCAGCGGUUCUGACGUGCAAAUCGAUCGUCAAAUUUGGGCAUAGGGGCGAAAGACUAAUCGAACUAUCUAGUAGCUGGUUCCUACGAGUUUCCCCCCCCCCAAAAAAA
RNAcentral lists this ribosomal RNA (945 nucleotides) under Phaeosphaeria spartinicola. RNAcentral describes it as "LSU rRNA". It matches the Rfam family "Eukaryotic large subunit ribosomal RNA", at positions 22 to 980 of the family's 3401-position model. The record is from RNAcentral. Lineage: Eukaryota; Fungi; Ascomycota; Dothideomycetes; Pleosporales; Phaeosphaeriaceae.